AAAUAUUAAUAUGCAGCUGUAAAACAAAAUUGGCUGGGGCAUUCAAGCUAGUACAAAGUCUAAAAUUAUUUUUUACUUUCUUUAUGAAUAAAUUUCAAGUAGAAGGUGUUCCUUUAAUUCUAAUUUAAUUUGUCUCUAUUUAUAGCACCUGAUGCCAAAUUCUGUCCUCAUCUGUACCAUUGCCACUAAUGUCAUUUGGGUUGCAGAGCUCUCUCACCUGCCAGAAGAAGACAAGAGUGAAGAGGAGGAGGAUCCUGGAACCUUAAAAGGACUGACCAAAACCCAAAGGGUUCUCAGAGUGGCAAGGAUAAUGGGUAUAGCAGGCAAGAUUUUGAAGUCCUGGGGAUACAGCCACUGUUCUGGAAAGCAAAAGGAACACAUUUUGGAAAUACACCACUGUCAGCUUUGCUAAUUAAUUACCUACCUUUGAGGCACUGAGGGGGGUGAAGUGACUUGUUCAGGUGGACAUAGCUAGUCAGUAGUAAAUAGACAUAGCCACCUGCAGUACAUUGAACUUUGCUGUCUGAAUUCCCAUGCUCCUCUCUAAUCAUGCUACUCCCUCCCUACAUUUUCCACCCAAAAGGGAAUGAAGCUGAAAAAUAUUUUAUUCUAAUACAAGCAAUUUUUAAAAUAAAAUUAUCCUAAACUUGUAGUUGCUGAAAAUUUAAUAUUUUGCAUGUGGAGUAAACUAUUGCCAGGCAAAUCUGCCCACAGGAAGACAUCCGAGAACCCAGCUGGUGCUAUUUAUUACAGCAGAACAAUGCUUUCUGAACAAACACCAGCCUUCAAGAAGGCAGGGUUCCUUGGAACUGUGUUCUGUGAGAGAUCGGCAACUAUUAUUAUUUUUUUUUUUUUUAGUGUUUCUUUUUCCUAUUAGCUAGAGUGAACUCAAGCCAUCUGGAGUGGGACUGGUGAAGAAGAGUAAUCUGCUGUCAGCAGUCUGACUCUGUUAGCGAGUCAGCAGUGUGACAUGAAGGACUUAGCAAGGAGUCCCACACUGAACCGCAUCUCCUCAUGAUUAAAACCAGUCCCACCUACUUGGCAUGCUUAUUCAAGAUGUUACUAUUUAGUGGAUGGUGGUCUAAUAAUUCAGGCUUAGCUUUUCCUGCCUUUGAUUCUUUGUGCAUAGCCUAUUCAGUUCCAUAAGAUACUAUUUGGAAAAUUAUAGUUUACUGCAUUGCCAGCAAUAAGAAACUCAUGGACGUGUCCCAAAAUGCUACAUUGUAACUUGUUUCCUGCACUGAAGGAACUUCAAAAUCUGCCAGGAAGUCUUGCACUGUGGAGAUGGCUGUGGACAUGUGUGAUUUAAAAAAGCCACUUAUAGCCAAUUUAUAGCCAAUGUUAUUUACCUGCGGUAUUACAUUGUGUGGUCAGCAAUGUUAAAAUAAAAGGUGACCAUAACAUUAAACAGUAAUAGUGAGAAGUACAUGCAAGCACUAACUUGUUCUUGGCAUUAAAUGAGGAAAUACAUGAUUUCCUGCUACACUUGCAUUUGUUUGUGUUUCUCAGCAUAACAGUUCAUUGUACCUUUCACAAUCCCUGAAGUCAUAGGCUGGACUUCCCAGAACUCCAUGCAGACCCAUCAGGCAUGACCUGAAUUUGGACAGCUUUGCACCACUAUGCCUGCAACUACAAGAUAAGACCUCCCAGGCUCUUCAUUGCCCCAAUGAGAAUGCAAGGAGCUAGGGGAGCAAGGAAGUUGUAGCAGAAGCUUAAAAGCCAGAACAUUCUCAUUAACAGUUUUCAACCUCUUCUUCUCCUGGUUCUGUCUCCAGGUAUAUGUACAGAUGCUAGCUGUGUCAGCUGGAGAGCACAGCCAUA
Molecule: long non-coding RNA, 1821 nt
Organism: Chelonia mydas (Green sea turtle)
Lineage: Eukaryota; Metazoa; Chordata; Testudines; Cheloniidae
Exons: 3
Source: RefSeq, a predicted model, not a curated record